Small nuclear RNA from Bison bison bison, 96 nucleotides. The record is from Ensembl. Lineage: Eukaryota; Metazoa; Chordata; Mammalia; Artiodactyla; Bovidae.
GUGUUCACUUUGGCAACACAUACACUAAUAUUGGAACAAUUAGCAUGGCUUCUGCACAAGGAUAACAUGCAAAUUCAUGAAGAUUUCAUAUUUUAA